UGAGGAGAACGUCGGAAUCUGCCUAUUUGUGGGGGAUAACGUAGGGAAACUUACGCUAAUACCGCAUACGACCUACGGGUGAAAGUGGGGGACCGCAAGGCCUCACGCAGAUAGAUGAGCCGACGUCGGAUUAGCUAGUUGGCGGGGUAAAGGCCCACCAAGGCGACGAUCCGUAGCUGGUCUGAGAGGAUGAUCAGCCACACUGGAACUGAGACACGGUCCAGACUCCUACGGGAGGCAGCAGUGGGGAAUAUUGGACAAUGGGCGCAAGCCUGAUCCAGCCAUGCCGCGUGUGUGAAGAAGGCCUUCGGGUUGUAAAGCACUUUUGUCCGGAAAGAAAAGCUUAGGGUUAAUAACCUUGAGUCAUGACGGUACCGGAAGAAUAAGCACCGGCUAACUUCGUGCCAGCAGCCGCGGUAAUACGAAGGGUGCAAGCGUUACUCGGAAUUACUGGGCGUAAAGCGUGCGUAGGUGGUUUGUUAAGUCUGAUGUGAAAGCCCUGGG
This 504-nucleotide ribosomal RNA is filed under the name uncultured bacterium. RNAcentral's name for it is "bacterial SSU rRNA". It matches the Rfam family "Bacterial small subunit ribosomal RNA", at positions 107 to 607 of the family's 1533-position model. The record is from RNAcentral.